ACUAGACAUUCAGGUCGAAAUGUUGGAGGAAGAAGUGUUCCUGGAUAUGAAUCCCAAUGGAGUAACCUUAGACGAGUACUAUGCACAAUGCAAACGGAUUACUAUACAGACAAGUGAGCCCGCGCGAAACGCAGAAAUUUAGCAUAGUUAAGUGUUUAAAUUAAUAUUUAUCUUUAGUUUCAAUGGGUUGGUUAUAUAUUUUAGUGAACACUUACUUAUGUGUGAUCUUUGCUUAUACAGGAUGUUACGAUACUGAGAGAUGAAGUCAUUGCGGUUGAAUAAAUUGCAUAAGAAUAGAGUUAUGAUUCUUUGAAUUGAAUAAGACAGUGUAGUUACUUUAUAUUGUUUGAUUUCUUAUGUGUGAUCCACUAUCAUAUAUGUUCUUAUCGUGUUCUUUGUAGGGUUGUUGUGUAUUUUGGUGUUCUUCCGGAUUUUACAACUAUUUACUUAAUUUUAAAGUGCAAGCGACGGUUUGUGGUGCUAUUUUAUUUCCUUUAGAAGUAUGUCUAUGCUUUAGUGAUGGUAAUAUGUAUGUUUUUUUUUGUCAGCUAUGUUUUUUUUUUAAUUAUUUCAUUUACUAUAUCUUAUUAUUUUAUUUUAAAGAUUAUGUUUUGAUUAUGUAGUAAUCAUUGGUUGUACUUUUUAUAUCAUUUUUUUGAUUAUGUAGUAAUUAUUGGUUGUGCUUUUUAUAUCAUUUUUCACGUUAAUUUCUCUAAGCUUGAACUUGGCACCCACAAAAGAAAGAAAUUCUAGUAAGUUUUCUUCUUCUUUUUUCGUUGGUCGGGAUUUGAUGAUGAAACGUUAAAAAAUAAUAUUGCAAAUCAUUUUUAUUUCUUUGUUGUUCUUAUGAUUUUUUUCUAUUUGUUCUCGAAGUUUAUAUAUCUUGGAUUAAAUUACUAAAUUAUUACUUGUUAACUAAUUUUCACACCAAAUCAAGUUAUAUUAUGUAUUUUUACUAACUUAUUUAUUGUCAAUUUGUUAUAUUAUCUUAUUUUUGUUUCUCCAAUUAGUUUGUAAGAUAUUUAUCUUAAUUAAUUAUUUAUUAAUCACUGGUUGUGGUUCCUAUUAUUUAUUUUUGUUUUUGUUAAUUUCUCUAAAUUUGAGCUUAAUUAGUGACCAGAAAGGAAAACAAAUGUGGAUGAGAUUUACUUUUUUUUUUUGUCUUUGGCUUAGGUUUGAAGAAACGGAAAAUGUGAUAUUGUAAAUGAUUUUUUUUCUUUUCUUUCUUAUAGACUUCUCUAUUUUUUCUGUAUUUUUUUUUAUUUUUAAGCUUUAUUAUAUAAUUUUUACUAAAUUAAAAAUAUUUAUUAAACUUUUCAAUAAGUUCAAGUUAUAUAAUGUAUUUUCUUAUUAUAUUUUUCAUAUUAUGUUAGUUUCUGUUUUUCCAAAUAAUUUUUAAAAUAUAUUUAAUUAUGUAUUAAUCAUUAGUUCUGAUUUUCGAUAAUUUGUUUAUCUGGUCUAGGCUUAAACUUGGUGGCCGAAAAAUAAUAGUUUUUUUGUUGGAAUUCAUUACUUUUUUAUUUUUGUUGGUCUGUGUUUGAUGAAACAUGAAAAAAUAGCAUAAAUAAACUUCUAUUUUUUGGUUAUAUGGAUAAUAUAUUAUAUAUUCAUUAAGUUAUUAUUUAUUAAUUAAAAGAUUGAUGUCAGAAUUUUGGUUAGAUUGAAAAUCAAGAAUUGUUUUUUAUGAUUUAUUAAAUGUUUUGUUAAUAUAAUUUGUUUAAAUAAUAAAAUAUGAGAAUUUAGGAUUCUUCAUUAAUAUUUAAAAAUUAUGCUUAUGUGUCAAGUUUAUAAAUAAUCUAUUGAUGAGGUGGUUUAAAGAGAAGAGCUGACAUUUGUCUUUAGUUUCAAAGGAUUGGUUAUACAUUUGUCUUUAUUUAUUUUUUUUCGUGCCAAAAAAAGAAAAGAAAAAAGGUUAUAUAUUUUUUUUAUAAACCCUUAUUUAUCUGUGAUCUUUGUUUAUAUAUGAUGUUAAGAUAUUGAGAUAUGAAGACAUUACGGUCGACUAUGCAUAAUAAUAUAGUUCUUUGUAGAGUUUUGUAUUGCGGCAUUCGUUCGAACUUUGCAACUAUAUACUUUAAUUUUAAAGUAUAGGAUACGGUGUUGUAGUGCCAUUUUGUUUUCUUUAAGAGUGUGUGGAUCUUUUAGUGAUGGUAAUAUGUAUGCCAUUUUUUUAUUUUUAUUUGAUAUAUUAUAUCUUGUUAUUUUAUUUUUUAAAUAUGUUUUGAUUACGUAGUAAUCACUGAUUGUGCUUUUUAUAUCAUUUUCAUGUUAAUUUCUCUAAAGCCGAGCUUGGUAUUCUUUUAAACUGUUGCUAAUAUUUUGGAAUAUUUUUUUUUGAUUUUCUAAUAAAAAUUCUUAGUUUUAUUGGGAUAAAAAAAUUGUUUUCUGAAAUAUAAUAAAAUUAUUUUGUUGCUUUUUAUAACUUAUUGUACUACCUAUUAGAUAAAAUUAAAAUUAUUAGUGGUUUAUAUUUGCAGAAUUAAAAUCAAAUAAUUUGUUCAUUAAAAUAACUCGUAUUGGUCUAGAUAUAUUGCAUGUUUGAUGAAAAACACAAAAUCGUAUAGUAUUAGUAUAUUCAUAAUAUUUACUAAUUUUCUUUGUCAAGUUAUAUUUUAAUAUAAUUUUACUAAUUUAAAAGUUUUCAUUUCAUAAUCUAAUUUAAUUAAUACUAGUUUACAUAUUUUAUUUUAUAAUAUUUAAUUUUUUCAAAAUAAGUUUAUCUGAAAAAAUAAAAUUGUGUUAUUUAUGGGAAAAUUGCCACAAAUAUUACAUUCAUAGUAUUAUUUUUCAUAUUUAAAUUAACUACUUUCACCAUCCCUUUUAAUAAAGGGUAAAAUACAUUUAUACCCAUAUAAUUAACUAAUCUAGAUUUAGGGUUUAGAGUUGAGAGGUGUGAUAGGAUUUUUAGAAUGUGAAAUUUAGAAUUCUAAUAAAUAUAUAAAUAAAUACUUAAAAAAUAUAUUUUUUUAAAAAAGUUUUAAACAUAAUUUUCGAUUUUCAAUUUAUUUUAAAAAAAAAUCGAAAAUUUUAAAUAAAUAAAUUUUAUUAAUAAGUUCGAAUUUAAAAAAGUACAAUUCAAAAAUAUAAAAUAAAAAUUAUAUUUAUUUAUGAGAAUUUAUUUAUUUAAAAUAUAAUUUUUAUUUAGUUAAAUAAUUAUUUAUUGCAUAUAUAUAGAACAAUGGUAUAAGAAUCUUUUGCCACUAAAUGUCCUCCUUAUUUAUGUGCAUGUUCUAUAAAAAAUAAUUUGGAUAUUAACGUAUUUAAUUAUAUUUAUCAUUAUUUUAAUUAUUUAAUCAUACUUAUGUAUUAUAACGAGAUAUGAUUAUAUUAUUUUUUCGUUUUAAAUUUUCAAAUUAACAGAAUAUUAAUUUAUAAUUAUAUUUUAACAAUUUUUACUAAUUUAUUUAUUUUAAAAUAUAGAAUAAAAGGAUUUUAUAAGAUUAUAAUGUAAUUAAAAGUUUAUAUAUUUAUAGUUAAAUGAAAAUAUAUUAUGAAUAGUUAAUUUUAAUCAAUUAACCAUUUUAUUUCCAUAAUAUAAUUCUGUUUUAAUAGAAUUGAUAAAAUCUAUGAAAUGUGAAAUUAUAAAUAUUUCCAUAUUAUACUUCGGUUAUACAAAAAUCUAUGAAAUUAGAAAUUUCAGUAGAUUUCAAAAGAGAUGUAAUCACUAAACUGUCAAGAGACAGAAAAGAAAAGAAAAAUACGUACCAAUUUAGAGAAUAAUCCCCUUCUAUGUUUGCAACAUCAGUUAAAGCUUUGGUCCAUCUCAGCUUAAGUUCCUUAGUUUUCCCUUCACAAGUUUUCUCAAAAAUGCUUCCGAAAUCCCCGUUUUGUUUCCGAACACAAGACGGAUCAACUUUGUAAAAAAUCGUCAUCACUAUCUUCCCUUGAUCUUCUUUGCGUUUCAAGAUUUCAACCAACUCAUCUAAACACCAGCUUGAAGAAGCGUAUUUCUUUGAGAGCACUACCAUCAGGACCCUCGAUUCUCUAAUGGCUUGUACGAGUUCAGGUCCAAUCGUGUGGCCUCUCUCGAUCUCGUGAUCCUUGAACAUUGUGAUCCCUUUGCUUUCAAAGUGUUUAUGUAAAUGACUGAGGAAUGAUCUACGAAUAUCUGGGCCAUGGAAGCUAGGGAAGACAUGAUAUCUUCUGAUCUGAGUCAAAGACGCCAUGAGAGAAAUUAAAGAAGGAGAAAGCUAGCAAUGGAUGAGAAAAUGGGUUACAAUGAACGAAUAGGUAAAGACAAAAGAAAGGAGAAACGUAGAAGUGGUUUGAAUGCUCAUACGUAUAUCCUACUAUAUAAAAGCUACUAAUUUUGAGGCUUUUUAGGAGUGCCACAUAGGAUAAAAUAUUCUCUACCAAUCAAACUGCCACGUUAUCGCGAAUGUUUAGAUGAUGGGUCUCGAACCAUCCAAACCCGUCAAAAUAGCCAGCCCAUUGUAUAACUUAUAGCUUCCUUUUCUUUAGCCUACUUGCCUCAGACGUCUCCAGCGACUCCAAAUCUGUUCGUCUACCCAACUUCACCGGUAUAACUUCUACGACUACAACAAUGACACUUCAAUGCUCCAUUAUAACUCAUCAAGUGAAGACUCUUUGUACCUCUCCACAUCCCUCUUCUCAAUCUCUUGUCCAGUUCCUUAAAUUUGAUUUGUCACAAAAAGUUAGUGCAUCAUAUAGUUUUUGAAAUUCAAAUAAUACUAGGUGUUUUUCUGCACCAUGUACAAUGAUAAAUUUUUUUAAAGUUAAAUUAUAUUUAAAAUGAAAUUUAUUAAUAUUAUAUAUUUUAUUAUUUUUGACUAAUAUUUAAUAUAAAGUUGACUAUUUUUGAGACUAUAAUGUUUGCUAUUGUGAUCAACACCUUUUUGCAGUACUCUGUUUGUAUCUUUUUUUAUUAGUCAUCUUCCUGUUAUUUUUUUCUUUUUGGUAAAAUGAUUAAAAAAAAGACUGAAGCUAAAAUUUGUCUGAUUAAAAAAAAGACUGAAGCUAAAAUUAAUCUUUUUGUUCUUGAUCAUUCACGUUAUCUUCAAAGUUAAUAACAUAGCCAACGUAAAUGAUCGACGUUGAGAUUUCAGCUUUUCUGUUUUUUACUAUUCUAAUGUUCAAUAUAAUUUGAAUAUUCUCUUUGUUUUAUAACAUAAUGGUUUAAAAAUAUUUUUUUUUUCACUAUAUAAAUUGUUUUUAUAUUUCAAUGUAACUUUAUAUUUAUUAGAUAUUGUGUAGCCAAUUAAAUUAUGUAAAUUACUGUGUAAUUGAUUAAAUUUAUAUAUUAAAUAACAGAUUUCUAAAGUAAUAACUUUUAAAUAUUACAUAUUUUAAUUAAAAUUGAUUAUAUUUUGAAACAGAUAGAGUAAUCUAUAAACUAACUCUAUAUAGAUAUGAAGACAAAAUUGUAAACUGAUCUCAUCUUGAAUUUCUCUCAUUCUAUGCAUUCUUAAUUGGGAGGAGAUAAUCAACAUCUAAUUUUAUGUUAGUCUCAGUAUAUUAGAAAUAGUCGAACCAUAAAUCAAUUAAGGAUGAUGUAAGGAAGACAUAAAGAUGUAUUUCCAGUUAUCACAAAUAUAGAAUCAAUUGGCAACAACUUAAUUAUGUCCAGCAUAAGACAACAUAGAAGACUUUCCAUACCUUCUAAUAUUAUAAUAUCUCACUAUAUUAUUGGUUAAAUCAGUUUUCUCUAGCACAAAUACUCACUCAAUUCUUAGAGUUUAAGCUUUUCUAUCUGAUGAUAUUAGUAGUUUGAUCCAAAAAAAAAGAAGAAACGGUCGAACUGUACAUUAUAAUUAGAGAAAGAAAACAAGCAAAAAUCAACCGAAGACUUUUAAGGUAUAUGAAACAAAAAUUGGAAAUAUCAAUUCUCUGUAUUUAAAGAAUAAUGAAAUAAAAUUGUAAAAAUACAAAAUAAAACAAAAAAA
Brassica rapa (field mustard) is the source of this 5903-nucleotide long non-coding RNA. RefSeq lists it as uncharacterized. Lineage: Eukaryota; Viridiplantae; Streptophyta; Magnoliopsida; Brassicales; Brassicaceae. The record is from RefSeq and is a predicted model, not a curated record.